This 291-nucleotide unclassified non-coding RNA is filed under the name uncultured fungus. RNAcentral describes it as "partial contains small subunit ribosomal RNA, internal transcribed spacer 1, and 5.8S ribosomal RNA". The stretch from base 1 to 73 matches the Rfam family "Eukaryotic small subunit ribosomal RNA", at positions 1759 to 1831 of the family's 1831-position model. The record is from RNAcentral. Lineage: Eukaryota; Fungi.
GCAAACUUGGUCAUUUAGAGGAAGUAAAAGUCGUAACAAGGUUUCCGUAGGUGAACCUGCGGAAGGAUCAUUACAAAAGGCUUUCUUUAAGUGACUUGCUGCUUUGGCAGCGUCACUUUAAAGAAAAACCUCAUGAUUCACCCUGUGUGCACUCAUCUGAGCCGUUCUCUCUUUACUGAGGAAUGGUUCCAUUUCCAAAGCUUUAUUUUUUGUCUGAUUUUCUAAAAAUUUAAUAAUAAUACAACUUUCAACAACGGAUCUCUUGGCUCUCGCAUCGAUGAAGAACGCAGC